AGUUGUGAAAAUAUAUAGUGAGUUAAAUGUUGGAACAGGAGGAUAUAAUAAUUUAUAUUCAGGCUUAUAUUCAAGCUAUAAUUCUAACUGAACUUUUUUAGAUCCAUCCAUCCAUCUCUUCCGUUUUUCCUUAUCAGGGUUGUUGGGGGGCCUGGAGCCAGCCGUCAUAGGAUCCUGACAGUGCUGAAUCAAAGAGGCAACUUUGAACUCCUAUCAGAUAUCUGCUGGGGGAGAGAAGGAGGAGGAGGAGAGAGUGAAGGUGGAGGAAAAGAGUAUUUUUCACAUGGACUUUCUGUAUACUGGCAUCACACACCUUGUCCAAUGUGCAAGUGACUGCAACUCCCUCAGAGAUUGGUGAAGGAAAGAAGCUCCGCAUUAAAGAAGUUGAUGACACCAAAUAGCUCCAAGCAUCAGCCCAACCUGUGUCUGCACUGCAUUCAGCUCCACAAUCCUUGAAAACUCCCCGAAGGUUAAAAAACUUCACGAAGUGCCGCAGCUUCCCAGAUUUCACCUCUGACAGUCUUGCCCUAGAUAUUUCUCUAUCCCUGUCAGACACACUUGCAGGUCUCAUCGGCUGCCAGCUGUGGAGGAGAGGACGUGGAGAUCAGCGCAGAUGAGAAGUGAAAAGGAUGAAGGGAAACCAAUCGAUCGAAAAGCCUCCAUCCUAAUCUUGUUGACGUCCUCAGAUGGUGCAGACAGGAGCCCUGGAGCAACUUUGGGGAACAUAUUAAAUCC
Molecule: long non-coding RNA, 735 nt
Organism: Oreochromis aureus
Lineage: Eukaryota; Metazoa; Chordata; Actinopteri; Cichliformes; Cichlidae
Source: Ensembl